Molecule: long non-coding RNA, 200 nt
Organism: Sander lucioperca (pikeperch)
Lineage: Eukaryota; Metazoa; Chordata; Actinopteri; Perciformes; Percidae
Exons: 3
Source: RefSeq, a predicted model, not a curated record
GGUCUGUUUGUGUUUAAUGGUACGUUUUGAGUUAGGGUCAUGAUGUAGUGUGAUUUGAUAUCUGUCCAUGUGUUUCAUCACAUCCAUCAGAUCCAUCUACUCGAAUGCCUUUUAUCAUCGGAGUGGUCGUGUUCUCUCUGACUCUGCUGUUGGUGAUCACUGCUCUUUACUUCUACUGUAAGGCAAGCAGGCGGUCAGAA